UAUUGUUGUUGCUGUUGUUGGCGUUGCUUUUGUUAUUGCCUUUGCUGUUGCUGCUGCUGCUCUCGUCGUUGUCGUAUGUUCUGUAUUAUUCGUCAUUUGUUUUUGUUGUUUUCGUUAGUUUUGUUUGUUCGCCUUUAACAGUUGCCAGCGUCGCUGACGCAGCAACAACGACAUCGACAACAGCAGCAGUAGCAGCAACGCCAGAGCAGCGAGCGACUUUGUUUUGUUGUUGUAGAUUCUGCUGCUGCUUGCUGAUUUUUUUUGUUAUUGUACCGCCUGCGCAACUGUUCUUAUUGUUGUUGUAUAACGAAGUGGAGAGGGCAAACAAUAAACUAGCUGACAAUAUUAAUUGUGUUUUGUCUAUUAACAUAAAAUAUAUAUGUAUACAUAUACAUACACACAAUGUACAUUCAACACAUUUAUGAAUACAAACAUAUGUACAUACAUUUGUAAACAAGAAGGAAUGAAUAUUAGAAUAAAUACCCGGCUAUUCCCCCUCCCCGUUUCACCCACCCAGCCAAUGACAGCAGCAGCAACAGCAAUGAAGGCAAAGGUAAUAACUUUGUUAGAUAGAACAACAACAGCUACAACAACAACAAUAACAUCAACAGCAGCAGCAGCAGCAGCAGCAACAAAAGGCACAAAUACAUAUACAAUGUACACUCUAUACACAGACACAGAAACAGUUACACUAUGGCAUAUAGAAUUUUUCUUGUUGCUGUAUUGUUGUUGCUUAUCUGGCCAAGGCGUUGUUGUAUUUGUUGUUGUUGUUGUAUGUAUGUACAUACUCGUAUGUAUAUUUUUCAAAAACAUUUUCUUCGUACGUACAUAUCUCGAAAUUGUUUAUUUUACCUGUACUCUGGCAGUUUGCGAACACCGCGAGGGAGAUUUGAAAAAGCGUUUCCGUAAGAAAUUUAAAGCGCGCUCUUAUUUUUUAAGCCAGUGUCGCACGGAAAA
Molecule: long non-coding RNA, 957 nt
Organism: Drosophila albomicans
Lineage: Eukaryota; Metazoa; Arthropoda; Insecta; Diptera; Drosophilidae
Exons: 2
Source: RefSeq, a predicted model, not a curated record